Molecule: ribosomal RNA, 396 nt
Filed under: uncultured bacterium
Lineage: Bacteria
Description: partial 16S ribosomal RNA
Rfam family: Bacterial small subunit ribosomal RNA
Source: RNAcentral
AUACGUAGGGUGCGAGCGUUGUCCGGAAUUACUGGGCGUAAAGAGCUCGUAGGUGGUUUGUCGCGUCGUCUGUGAAAUUCCGGGGCUUAACUCCGGGCGUGCAGGCGAUACGGGCAUAACUUGGGUACUGUAGGGGAGACUGGAAUUCCUGGUGUAGCGGUGAAAUGCGCAGAUAUCAGGAGGAACACCGGUGGCGAAGGCGGGUCUCUGGGCAGUAACUGACGCUGAGGAGCGAAAGCAUGGGUGGCGAACAGGAUUAGAUACCCUGGUAGUCCAUGCCGUAAACGGUGGGCGCUAGGUGUAGGGGUCUUCCACGACUUCUGUGCCGUAGCUAACGCAUUAAGCGCCCCGCCUGGGGAGUACGGCCGCAAGGCUAAAACUCAAAUGAAUUGACGG